This 387-nucleotide ribosomal RNA is filed under the name uncultured bacterium. RNAcentral's name for it is "bacterial SSU rRNA". It matches the Rfam family "Bacterial small subunit ribosomal RNA", at positions 28 to 417 of the family's 1533-position model. The record is from RNAcentral.
GACGAACGCUGGCGGCGUGCUUAACACAUGCAAGUCGAGCGGAAAGGCCCUUUCGGGGGUACUCGAGCGGCGAACGGGUGAGUAACACGUGAAUAAUCUGCCCUGGACUUUGGGAUAACCCUCGGAAACGGGGGCUAAUACCGGAUAUGACUGCCUGAUGCAUGUUGGGUGGUGGAAAGCUUUUGUGGUCCAGGAUGAGUUCGCGGCCUAUCAGCUUGUUGGUGGGGUAAUGGCCUACCAAGGCGACGACGGGUAGCCGGCCUGAGAGGGCGACCGGCCACACUGGGACUGAGACACGGCCCAGACUCCUACGGGAGGCAGCAGUGGGGAAUAUUGCACAAUGGGCGAAAGCCUGAUGCAGCGACGCCGCGUGAGGGAUGACGGCCU